Molecule: long non-coding RNA, 1471 nt
Filed under: Equus caballus (horse)
Lineage: Eukaryota; Metazoa; Chordata; Mammalia; Perissodactyla; Equidae
Description: lncRNA (ENSECAG00000055603.1)
Source: RNAcentral
GGCCAGUCUUCCUCAGCAAAAAGAGGAGGAUUGGCAGUAGUUAGCUCAGGGCUAAUCUUCCUCAAAAAAAAAAAAAAUAAAAUAAAAUAAAUGAAAAGGAAAGAAAAAUUUCUCCUUGUGAUGAGAACUCUUAGGAUCUAUUCUCUUAACAACUUUCCUAUAUGUCACACAGCAGUGUUAACUAUAGUCAUCAAGUUGUACAUUGCAUCCGCGGUAUUUAUUUAUCUUAUAACUAGAAGUGUGUACCUUUUGACCACCUUCCUCCAAAUACAUAAACAGCUUUUGCACUAGCUCAAUAUUUACUUAUAACAGAUUAAUGCUAUUUAUACGAAUUCGUGCUGGAUUCUGUCUGCUUUAGAGGUCAACUUCUAGAUUGACAGAAAAAACCCUGGUAAAACAAUUGCCUUGUAGAACAGAAAAAGUAGCUGGUUGUAAUUGGAAGGCAACUACGAAUAUUUGAUUUAUCGAAAAAAAUUUAAGUAUUACAAGAAGAGACAUGUGAGUUCUUUGUCAUCAACCAGCAAGACAGAGGAGGAAGUAGAAAAGAGUAUUGACCUUAGACAUGGAUGUUGAAGCCCAGGAGGAUGAAGUAACCUGCCUGAACGGCAGAGCCAGGACUCAUUCUCAUCUUCUGACACAAUCCUGUUGAAUGGAAAGGUGCUGGGUACCAAGACUGAGCACUUUGAACCUCACAAAUGCCAAUUGGCACAGGUGGGGAGUAUCUGUGUUGGAAGGAUCUAAGGGGUAAGGACAGUGGUAUGUUGGCAUUGAUGUCUCUCUGUAUUUUUCUUUUUCAGGUGCCUGAUUUUAUUAUUUCUUCCAGAAAGUUCUGGAUUCUGAAUGUCUACUCAAAUACAAGCACGUUCUCUGCUUCUUUAUUCUUUUGCUAAAUGCGGGCAUUUGUUCUGCACAACUGCCUCUUCUGUUUGAUUACUGAUGCUACAACCGUAGCAGAAAAGAGAGCCUUUUUCCCUAACUUGGGGGCUGUGCUCUAUGUGUUGUUACCCUUCUCCUUCUUUUCCUUGGGGCAGAGACCUGAUUCCUGUGCUAGGUUUGUGCCCAAAUAAAAAAGAAUUUGGCUGUUUUGCUCAGAAACCUAAGGCCAAAUGAUUGCACAUAGGUUCUACAUAAUUAAUAGAGAAAAAUUUUUCAAGCUACUUGAGGACACUCCCAGUGAGAAUUUGGAGCUUCGUUCCUUGAGGAUUCUUAACACAAGGUCCCAAUUUGACCACUAAAGACCUGAGGAAAUCCUUUUUUUCCUGUUUGAAUUGUCUUCAAAGUGAAUUUUCCAAAGCCACCCCACUGAGUGACCAUGAGGGAAAAUUGGAAAUUAGUGGCUGACGUCAUGUUGGUGGAGGGGAAAGAGAAAGCUCAUAUCCCCCAACUUGCACCAGGAAAGAGCAGAAGCUGGAAGUGAAUUAUAGUUGAGAGGCGAUGAGGGGAAGCUGCAAGACUGAGAGCCUGAGCGCCA